RNAcentral lists this ribosomal RNA (302 nucleotides) under uncultured bacterium. RNAcentral's name for it is "partial 16S ribosomal RNA". It matches the Rfam family "Bacterial small subunit ribosomal RNA", at positions 508 to 807 of the family's 1533-position model. The record is from RNAcentral.
GCAGUAGCCACGGUAAUACGUAGGGUGCAAGCGUUAAUCGGAAUUACUGGGCGUAAAGCGUGCGCAGGCGGUUAUAUAAGACAGAUGUGAAAUCCCCGGGCUCAACCUGGGAACUGCAUUUGUGACUGUAUAGCUAGAGUACGGCAGAGGGGGAUGGAAUUCCGCGUGUAGCAGUGAAAUGCGUAGAUAUGCGGAGGAACACCGAUGGCGAAGGCAAUCCCCUGGGCCUGUACUGAUGCUCAUGCACGAAAGCGUGGGGAGCAAACAGGAUUAGAUACCCCCGUAGUCCCUGUCUCUUAUAC